AUGAACGCUGGCGGCAUGCCUAAUACAUGCAAGUCGAGCGAACAGACGAGGAGCUUGCUCCUCUGACGUUAGCGGCGGACGGGUGAGUAACACGUGGAUAACCUACCUAUAAGACUGGGAUAACUUCGGGAAACCGGAGCUAAUACCGGAUAAUAUAUUGAACCGCAUGGUUCAAUAGUGAAAGACGGUUUUGCUGUCACUUAUAGAUGGAUCCGCGCCGCAUUAGCUAGUUGGUAAGGUAACGGCUUACCAAGGCAACGAUGCGUAGCCGACCUGAGAGGGUGAUCGGCCGCACUGGAACUGAGACCCGGUCCAGACUCCUACGGGAGGCAGCAGUAGGGAAUCUUCCGGAAUGGGCGAAAGCCUGACGGAGCAACGCCGCGUGAGUGAUGAAGGUCUUCGGAUCGUAAAACUCUGUUAUUAGGGAAGAACAAAUGUGUAAGUAACUAUGCACGUCUUGACGGUACCUAAUCAGAAAGCCACGGCUAACUACGUG
RNAcentral lists this ribosomal RNA (496 nucleotides) under uncultured bacterium. RNAcentral's name for it is "partial 16S ribosomal RNA". It matches the Rfam family "Bacterial small subunit ribosomal RNA", at positions 29 to 507 of the family's 1533-position model. The record is from RNAcentral.